This is a long non-coding RNA of Cygnus atratus (black swan), 325 nucleotides long. RefSeq lists it as uncharacterized. The record is from RefSeq and is a predicted model, not a curated record. The transcript has 3 exons. NCBI's taxonomy places the organism in Eukaryota, Metazoa, Chordata, Aves, Anseriformes, Anatidae.
UGAGACAGACGUGCCUAUAUGAGAAGUGAAUGGGAAGGAACCUGUACCUGAUAAUGCAGUUUGAACUACAGAAAGCAAGACAAUGGAUGAUGGAGUUGGUUGCAGUCCUCUGACUUCUGUACAGAUGAACUUUCCAGUUGGUAGUGAGCUGUUCUUGUGGACUCUUGGCCCUGGAUUUGUCCUGGAACACGGCAACAUCUAGCAUGGUCACUGAACACCUUACAGCAGAGAAUGUCUGCAUUGAACAUUUUCCAUAUUGCACCGAAACUGAAUUUCAGUCAGAAUGACCUGGAAAGAAGAGCUCAGGAUGGGGAAUCAGAAUCUG